RNAcentral lists this unclassified non-coding RNA (349 nucleotides) under soil metagenome. Its description in RNAcentral is "partial contains 5.8S ribosomal RNA, internal transcribed spacer 2, and large subunit ribosomal RNA". The stretch from base 1 to 120 matches the Rfam family "5.8S ribosomal RNA", at positions 35 to 154 of the family's 154-position model. The record is from RNAcentral.
GAUGAAGAACGCAGCGAAAUGCGAAAAGUAAUGUGAAUUGCAGAAUUCAGUGAAUCAUCGAAUCUUUGAACGCACAUUGCGCCCGCCAGUAUUCUGGCGGGCAUGCCUGUCCGAGCGUCAUUUCAACCCUCGAACCCCUCCGGGGGGUCGGCGUUGGGGAUCGGCCCCUCACCGGGCCGCCCCCGAAAUCCAGUGGCGGUCUCGCCGCAGCCUCUCCUGCGCAGUAGUUUGCACACUCGCACCGGGAGCGCGGCGCGGCCACAGCCGUAAAACACCCCAAACUCUGAAAUGUUGACCUCGGAUCAGGUAGGAAUACCCGCUGAACUUAAGCAUAUCAAUAAGCGGAGGA